AUCCUCUCUGAAGUAGCUGGGACCUCAAGUCUCCCCAUCCCUGAGGAUUAGGCUGGGCAGAAGAGGAAAAGAGAAUGGCUUGGGGCUUACCCAGUGCUGAACAGUGAGACACAGCUUCUUGGACCUGGAACUCCGAAUGGGAGGUUAUACUGCUGGAGUGACUCAAGAAGAAUUGAUGCUCUGGCCCCCAGACAUGUACACGGUGUGAUGACAGGAAAUGAACGGAUUUGCAGAAAACCUUGUGGCCUGAAAUUGAAGCCUAAGGAGUCGGUGCUUCCAGGUGUAAGUGACGUGAAAGUGCCUAUCAGCAGAAUCUUGUCUUCAAGAGGAGUGCUGGCCUGUCAGCGAGCAUGCCUGAUUGCCAUGAGAUGGAUUUGCAAAGGAGAGCCAGAACACUG
This 398-nucleotide long non-coding RNA is filed under the name Cricetulus griseus (Chinese hamster). RNAcentral's name for it is "lncRNA (ENSCGRG00015043382.1)". Lineage: Eukaryota; Metazoa; Chordata; Mammalia; Rodentia; Cricetidae. The record is from RNAcentral.